GGCUGGAGGCAGCAUCUGCACAGCAACAAGCUGUUAAAGCAGCUGGCACAGAGACAUCGGGCAUGGGCAUGGAGAUGGGAAAUGUGUGCUACGGGUGUCCCAGACUGAGGUGUUUGGCCGUUCCUGUAAAGCUGCAGAUGGACACCUGUUGAGACAGGAGGUGGCUGAGGCCCCAGUUGCAGCUGGCACACAGAGACCCUCCUGCACUGCAGGAGAUGCCCACUGGGCUCAAAUUUUGCCUCUGAAGAUGGAGACAUGAGCUGUCAGAAAUCCCAGAAAAUAUCAGGGAAAAGGUUUUAAGUUGGUUGUUGUCACUAGGUACAAAUCUCCAGUGAGAAAAGAGUCUCUCCAGUACACUGGGUGUCUUGUUAUGAAUUCAUUCUUCUUAGAGUGAAGAUUACCAAUUAAAUGCAAUUUUAUUUUUUAUUCUACAAGUGUAAAAGUGUUCUAAAUUUUUCUAAUUCAAAAAGUAAUUUGAAAAAUCCUAAAGGACUAUAGAAAAAUGUAAGAAUCAUUUGGGGAUUUUUUCCUAUGAAAAAUAAUGCUGAAUAUUUUUUCUCUACCAGAAGGAAUGAGAAAUUCCCCAAGUAUAUGCCAGGGGUAUGUUGCAAAAAUACUUUGCUCAGUUCGUGCACAUUAUCCAAAUUCUCUCAUAUUACAUUACAUGGAAGAUAUUUUAGUAGCAGCAAAGGACCAAGCAUCAAUGCAAGAGACAACAGAUCAGGUCAUCUCAGCAGAGGAGAAAGCAGGACUCGCUGUAGCAAAGGAAAAAAUACAGACACUUCCUCCCUGGAAAUAUUUAGGAUACAGGAUGACAGAACAAACGGUAACCCCGCAGCCACUCCAGCUAAGGACAAAUCCAAAGACAUGGAAUGAAGUGCAGCAGCUGGUAGGGACUCUGAACUGGCUUCGUCCACUACUAGGCCUUUCAAAUCAGGACUUGGCUCCUCUGGCAGACUUGUUGAGAGGAGACACAGCCUUAAACUCACUGUGAGAAUUCAACAAAGAAACUCAAAAUGCUUUGGACAAAGUGAUGAGAGCCAUCCAGACGUGCCAGGCUCAUCGGUAUAAUCCUAACCUGUCUUUUUUGUUUGCAGUUUUAGGAGAGAGUCCACAGCUUCAUGGUUUAAUAUUCCAGUGGGAUCUAGAGAAGAAGGACCAUCUGAUAAUCUUAGAGUGUGGUGGAAAGAGCAGAAGGAUCUCUGCUGAAAGAAGUUUCUGAUGAUCAGUUAUACGGUUGUUAACUGGGAGUGAUCGAUGCAUUUGGGAUUCAUGUCUGUGUGUACUCUGAUGAGUACACGUACUCUAUCUCCUCUAUACAAGGGACAGUAACACUUCUCACAAGUGUUUCCUCCACUUCCUCCAAAGUGGGUGAGUAGUAGCAUUGCUACGAGUGGGAGUCUGGUACGGGCUGGCCUCCUCACCUCUCGAACCACAGGGGUUUUCUCAGUGCCCAGAGAGUAUUUCCUGGAGGUAGUUCCCAAUCCAGUCUUGCCUCCCACUUCUGGUUUUCCCUUCUUCUGGAGACAUUCUGCCAUGACCUUUAUUGUACCGACUCCCUUUCUUCAAUUUGGUCCCAAUUAGGGUUGCAAGGAGAGUGCUCUAUGGAACAGUACCGGAAACUGAGAUCUUAUUUUGAUUGUCAUUCUUAGCUGAACAAAACUUGACCUUGUACUAUAACAAACACUAACAAACUUUAAGGAUUUAAGGAUAACAAUGUAGAUGCUUCCCGUGGGGGGUUGUGUUCAGGGUUGCGCUUCUUUUGCUGUUUUCCUCAGGACCAAUUUCAAGUCUUUAUUGUCUCUGCUGCCUAUAGUCCAUUUGCUUGCCUAAUUUGGGGGUUGUGCUGGACCCUUCACUGGACUUGCAUGUGUCCACCCCCGCUCCUUUGCUCUUCCUGCAGUGUUUGUUGUAAGCAGCACCUGGAAGGGGCCCUCAAAGCGAGCAGUGAGUGGAGAGGUUUUCCAUGAUUUAAUCAAUACCCGGUCUCCUGGGUUAAUACUACGUAUUUUACAGUUCAGUGGGGAAGUUUGGGGAAGGUGUCCCUUUUCCCUUAGUUCUUCCAGGGUUGCUGUUACUGUUUCUAAGUAUUUUUGCAUUGUCAUGCCCCCUUCUAGAUGUUCCCUGGUACUGUACAGGGUAAGCAAGAAAGGCAGCCCAAGCAGCAUUUCAUAAGGAGAGACCCCUAGAUCUGUUCUGGCUCUUGUUCUUAUUUGUAAUAGGGCUAGAUGUAAACAUUUGACCCAGUUCUAUUGGGUUUCUAAGACCAAUUUUGUUAAGAUAUGCUUUAAGUUUUGAUUCACCCUCUCGCCCUUCCCAGAACUCUGAGAGUGCCAAGGGGUGUGUAACUCCCACUUUAUUCCCAGGGCCCUGAUGACUUGUUGCAGAACACUGGAUGUAAAGUGGGGGCCACAGUCCAAAUCAAUAAGAUUUACUAGCCCAUAUCUCAGAAGAAUUUCUUCCAAGAGAACUUUUGUCACAGUUUGAGUUUCUUGUGGGGAACACUUCAGCCCAGUGGGUUAGGUGGUUAAGUAUGACCAAUAGGUGUUUAUACCCUCGGGCUGGAGUUAAUUCAGUAAAAUCAACCUGAAUACUCUGGAAAGGUCUUGUGACUAAUUUCCUCCCUCCUGGAGUUGUUUUUCACAUUACCUUUUUGUUGACUUUUUGGCAGGUUAGACAUUCUCCUGUGAUGGAUCUGGCCAUUUCAUAUAUUCCUGUCCCCAUGCAAUAUUUCAGGAAAUGAUCAUAUAUUCAUUGUGUUCCCCAGUGAGUUAAUUGGUAUAUCUCUUCCAUCACUUUCCUGGUUAUUAUUCAGUUGAAUAUUUAUCAUCCAUCUGGGGUCCACCACUUUCCAUCCCCUGUUUUUACUGCUCCCAUUUGCUCUAUUUCUUUUAGCUCCUUGUCCUUGAAAACUGGAACCCCCUCUUCCUUUAUUUUCCCCUGGUCUUUUUUUACCCUUAGGACUAUGACUGAGUCCAGCAUUUCAAAGGCUGCUUUUUUGGCUGCCCGGUCUGCUAAUUUGUUUCCUUGGAUUUCAGGGGUAUCCCCUUUUUAGUAGCCUUUAAUAUGGACUGUGGCAAUUUCUUUUGGUCCUCUGAGGGAUUCAAGUGCUUCCCUAUCAGACUUUCAUGUGCCAGAUUUUUCCCCUUUGAGUUAAGGUAUGCCCUCUCUGGCCAGAUUUUUCCAAAGGUAUGAGCUAUCCCAAAGGCAUAUUGAGAAUCCAUGGAGAUUGUCCCUAUAUCAUCUAAUAAAUCAAAACCUCUCUUUAGGGCAUAUACCUCGCAGUUUGUGCAGAGCAAUUUGAGGGUAAUUUCCCUUUUUCUUUGUUUUCCUCUGCUUCAAUAAUGGCGUAUCCUGAUGCCCAUUUUCCCAUUACUGUUUGGGAGGAUCCAUCUAUAUACUGGAUCCUUCCAUAUGGUAAGGGGUCUUCUUCUAGCUCUUCUCUUACAUUUGUUUGCAUCUCAAUUAGCUCUAUACAAUUAUGAUCUAAAUUUUCCAUUUUUGGUUCCCCGGUUAAGAAUUGAGCAGGGUUUCAACCUUUUGAGGUGACAGUCUCUAGAUUCUUGACAUUCAUCAGGGUUAUUUCAUACCUCAGGAUUCAGCUGUGUGUUAGCCACUGAGGAGUUUUUGGCUUAACACUAUCCUCAAAUAAUGGGAUGUGUGUACUGAAAUCCUUCCAUUUAAUGUAGGAUUUGGAGUGUCUUCUAAUAAGGUAGCUGUGGCUGCCACAGCUUGAAUACAGGCUGGCCACCCUCUUGCAACCACAUCCAAUAAUUUUGACAGAUAAGCCACCAGCUUCCUGCUUCCCCCCCAGCCUUGGGUUAUCACUCCAUAUGCUAUCCAUUCAUUAACAUUAACAAACAGAUCAAAUGGUUUUCUUCAAUUAGGCAGACUCAAAACUGGGGUUUUCGUCAAUCGAGCCUUUAAGUCUUGGAACCGUUCGGUAUCCUCCAGAGUCCAGACUACAGGUUCUGUGCUUGUUAAUUUUUCAUACAAAAAUUUUACAGCUUGAGUAUACUGAUCAAUCCAUAAUAUACAAGAGCCCAUUAGACCUAUUAUCUUUCUUAGUAAAAGUUAGUAAUUUCUCCACCUUCACUUUGUGGGAAAUUGUGGGGGCAAAAAAGUUCCAAGCAAAACAGGGCUCAGCUCAACUACAGCCCUCAGGUUUUGCAUAGAGGAUCUAUUUAAAAAGCAGUGAAACAUCAUCCCAGCUGUAACUUUCUGUUGUUAAGGGAUGCUUCAAAAAAAACAUGCAGAGUGUACUUCAAAGUGGUCCUUAGAUGAAAAAUUACCCCAUUUUGGAGCAAGCUUUAGAUACUACAACGAUGAAUUUAAUAACCUAUCCUUUACUAGUCAAAACAAGAAUUUGUUAUCAAGAUUCCUGCACAAUUACCUUGGUUUACAAAAUUCAAGAUCCUUUAUGCUUCCGUGCACCAUCACUGACAACAUCCAGACAAUAAAAACCAUGUUCCCAACUCCCCAGUGGCUGGUUUUUCAUGUGAACCAUAAAUAAAGAUUAUUAAAAGGGAAAAAAAUCAUUGAAGAGGAUAUAUAUUUAGAGAAACCUGCAGGAAAAUAGGGGCAAUAUCAAUUGUUUUGACUACAAAAUCCACUAAAUUAUACACAUUGGAUACAAACAUGG
Passer domesticus (house sparrow) is the source of this 4642-nucleotide long non-coding RNA. RefSeq lists it as uncharacterized. The record is from RefSeq and is a predicted model, not a curated record. NCBI's taxonomy places the organism in Eukaryota, Metazoa, Chordata, Aves, Passeriformes, Passeridae. The transcript is spliced from 3 exons.